This 1249-nucleotide ribosomal RNA is filed under the name human gut metagenome. Its description in RNAcentral is "bacterial LSU rRNA". It matches the Rfam family "Bacterial large subunit ribosomal RNA", at positions 1693 to 2925 of the family's 2925-position model. The record is from RNAcentral.
AGAUUCACUCUGGCCAAGGAACUCGGCAAAAUAACCCCGUAACUUCGGAAGAAGGGGUGCUCUCUAGGGUGACAUGUUUAACAUAUGAAGCCCCGGGGAGCCGCAGUGAAUUGGUGGUGGCGACUGUUUACUAAAAACAUAGGUCUGUGCGAAGUCCUAAAGACGACGUAUACGGACUGACGCCUGCCCGGUGCUGGAAGGUUAAAAGGAGGGGUCAGCGCAAGCAAAGCUCCGAAUUGAAGCCCCAGUAAACGGCGGCCGUAACUAUAACGGUCCUAAGGUAGCGAAAUUCCUUGUCGGGUAAGUUCCGACCUGCACGAAUGGCGUAACGAUCUCCACACUGUCUCGGCCAGAGACUCGGUGAAAUUGCAGUCGCGGUGAAAAUUCCGUGUACCCGCAGAAAGACGGAAAGACCCUGUGCACCUUUACUAUAGCUUGACAUUGGAUUUUGGGCCUGCAUGUGUAGGAUAGGUGGGAGGCUGUGAACCCUGUACGCCAGUAUGGGGGGAGCCAUCCUUGAAAUACCACCCUUGCAUGUUUAAGAUCCUAACUUCUUCCGGUUAUCCCGGAGAAAGACAGUGUCUGGCGGGUAGUUUGACUGGGGCGGUCGCCUCCUAAAGUGUAACGGAGGCAUGCAAAGGUUCCCUCAGCCUGAUCGGAAACCAGGCGCUGAGUGCAAACGCAUAAGGGAGCUUGACUGUAAGAGAGACAUCUCGAACAGGAACGAAAGUUGGCGUUAGUGAUCCGGUGGUCCCGAAUGGAAGGGCCAUCGCUCAUUGGAUAAAAGGUACGCCGGGGAUAACAGGCUGAUCGCAUCCAAGAGUUCACAUCGACGAUGCGGUUUGGCACCUCGAUGUCGGCUCAUCACAUCCUGGGGCUGAAUCAGGUCCCAAGGGUACGGCUGUUCGCCGUUUAAAGUGGUACGCGAGCUGGGUUUAAAACGUCGUGAGACAGUUUGGUCCCUAUCUUCUGUGGGCGAAGGAGAAUUGAGAGGGCCUGUCCCUAGUACGAGAGGACCGGGAUGGACGCACCCCUGGUGAUCCUGUUGUCGCGCCAGCGGCAUAGCAGGGUAGCUAUGUGCGGAAGGGAUAACCGCUGAAAGCAUCUAAGCGGGAAGCCUGCCUCAAGAUAAGUUCUCCCCUCGAAAGAGCUGAAGGGCCCGGGUAGACUACCCGGUCGAUAGGCUGGAGGUGUAAGCGCGGCGACGUGCUCAGCUGACCAGUACUAAUAGCCCGAGCGGCUUAUUUUU